This 72-nucleotide transfer RNA is filed under the name Bos taurus (domestic cattle). It matches the Rfam family "tRNA". Rfam says of the family: Transfer RNA (tRNA) molecules are approximately 80 nucleotides in length. Their secondary structure includes four short double-helical elements and three loops (D, anti-codon, and T loops). The record is from Rfam by way of RNAcentral. RNAcentral also lists the same sequence under 4 other names. Lineage: Eukaryota; Metazoa; Chordata; Mammalia; Artiodactyla; Bovidae.
UCCCUGGUGGCUCAGAUGGUAAAGAAUCUGCCUGCAAUGCAGGACACCCAGGUUCGAUCCCUGGGUUGGGAA